Molecule: long non-coding RNA, 209 nt
Organism: Solanum dulcamara
Lineage: Eukaryota; Viridiplantae; Streptophyta; Magnoliopsida; Solanales; Solanaceae
Exons: 3
Source: RefSeq, a predicted model, not a curated record
GAGAAGAGAAGGGUUUGAGAAAGAACUUACUUGUGCGGCGUCGAACACUGAACGAAGCCGCCAAUUGCUCCAGAUGGGAAGCGUGAGACAUUGAAGAAAGGAAAGACAUUGAUGAAUUAGCUUGUUUGACUUCUGAUUCUUCGGUUGAAAGUGCAGCGAGUGUUCCAUCAACUUCGACUCGACCUCAGCUCUAGCCAGUGUCCAGCACA